AUUGAACGCUGGCGGCAGGCCUAACACAUGCAAGUCGAACGAUAACAGGAAGCAGCUUGCUGCUUUGCUGACGAGUGGCGGACGGGUGAGUAAUGUCUGGGAAACUGCCUGAUGGAGGGGGAUAACUACUGGAAACGGUAGCUAAUACCGCAUAACGUCGCAAGACCAAAGAGGGGGACCUUCGGGCCUCUUGCCAUCGGAUGUGCCCAGAUGGGAUUAGCUAGUAGGUGGGGUAACGGCUCACCUAGGCGACGAUCCCUAGCUGGUCUGAGAGGAUGACCAGCCACACUGGAACUGAGACACGGUCCAGACUCCUACGGGAGGCAGCAGUGGGGAAUAUUGCACAAUGGGCGCAAGCCUGAUGCAGCCAUGCCGCGUGUAUGAAGAAGGCCUUCGGGUUGUAAAGUACUUUCAGCGGGGAGGAAGGGAGUAAAGUUAAUACCUUUGCUCAUUGACGUUACCCGCAGAAGAAGCACCGGCUAACUCCGUG
RNAcentral lists this ribosomal RNA (490 nucleotides) under uncultured bacterium. RNAcentral's name for it is "partial 16S ribosomal RNA". It matches the Rfam family "Bacterial small subunit ribosomal RNA", at positions 30 to 507 of the family's 1533-position model. The record is from RNAcentral.